GGGGAAUAUUGGACAAUGGGGGAAACCCUGAUCCAGCAACGCCGCGUGGAGGAUGAAGGUCUUCGGAUUGUAAACUCCUGUUAGGGGGGACGAAGGGAUGUCGGUGAACAGCCGGCAAACUUGACGGUACCCCCAGAGGAAGCCCCGGCUAACUCUGUGCCAGCAGCCGCGGUAAUACAGAGGGGGCAAGCGUUAUUCGGAAUUAUUGGGCGUAAAGGGCGCGUAGGCGGCCUUGUAAGUCUUGGGUGAAAUCCCUCAGCUCAACUGAGGAACUGCCUCGGAAACUGCAAGGCUUGAGGCCGGGAGAGGGUAGUGGAAUUCCCAGUGUAGCGGUGAAAUGCGUAGAUAUUGGGAGGAACACCGGUGGCGAAGGCGGCUACCUGGACCGGUUCUGACGCUGAUGCGCGAAAGCGUGGGUAGCAAAC
Molecule: ribosomal RNA, 425 nt
Filed under: uncultured bacterium
Lineage: Bacteria
Description: bacterial SSU rRNA
Rfam family: Bacterial small subunit ribosomal RNA
Source: RNAcentral